RNAcentral lists this ribosomal RNA (878 nucleotides) under uncultured Actinomycetes bacterium. Its description in RNAcentral is "bacterial SSU rRNA". It matches the Rfam family "Bacterial small subunit ribosomal RNA", at positions 28 to 918 of the family's 1533-position model. Lineage: Bacteria; Bacillati; Actinomycetota; Actinomycetes. The record is from RNAcentral.
GACGAACGCUGGCGGCGUGCUUAACACAUGCAAGUCGAGCGGUAAGGCCCUUUCGGGGGUACACGAGCGGCGAACGGGUGAGUAACACGUGGGUGACCUGCCCUCAGCUCUGGGAUAAGCCCGGGAAACUGGGUCUAAUACCGGAUAUGACUCCAUGACGCAUGUUGUGGGGUGGAAAGCCUUGUGCGGCUGAGGAUGGGCCCGCGGCCUAUCAGCUUGUUGGUGGGGUGAUGGCCUACCAAGGCGACGACGGGUAGCCGGCCUGAGAGGGCGACCGGCCACACUGGGACUGAGACACGGCCCAGACUCCUACGGGAGGCAGCAGUGGGGAAUCUUGCGCAAUGGGCGAAAGCCUGACGCAGCGACGCCGCGUGAGGGAUGACGGCCUUCGGGUUGUAAACCUCUUUCAGCUCCGACGAAGCGGAAGUGACGGUAGGAGCAGAAGAAGCACCGGCCAACUACGUGCCAGCAGCCGCGGUAAUACGUAGGGUGCAAGCGUUGUCCGGAAUUAUUGGGCGUAAAGAGCUCGUAGGCGGUCUGUCGCGUCGGCUGUGAAAACUCGGGGCUCAACUCCGAGCUUGCAGUCGAUACGGGCAGGCUAGAGUUCGGCAGGGGAGACUGGAAUUCUUGGUGUAGCGGUGAAAUGCGCAGAUAUCAGGAGGAACACCGGUGGCGAAGGCGGGUCUCUGGGCCGAUACUGACGCUGAGGAGCGAAAGCGUGGGGAGCGAACAGGAUUAGAUACCCUGGUAGUCCACGCCGUAAACGUUGGGCGCUAGGUGUGGGAUCCCUUCCACGGGUUCCGUGCCGCAGCUAACGCAUUAAGCGCCCCGCCUGGGGAGUACGGCCGCAAGGCUAAAACUCAAAUGAAUUGACGGGG